Molecule: signal recognition particle RNA, 99 nt
Filed under: Anaerolineae bacterium
Lineage: Bacteria; Bacillati; Chloroflexota; Anaerolineae
Description: signal recognition particle sRNA small type
Rfam family: Bacterial small signal recognition particle RNA
About the family: The signal recognition particle (SRP) is a universally conserved ribonucleoprotein involved in the co-translational targeting of proteins to membranes. Archaeal SRP consists of a 7S RNA and homologues of the eukaryotic SRP19 and SRP54 proteins.
Source: RNAcentral
AGCCGGGUCCUGCGCGGCAGGACUCCCGAACCGUGUCAGGACCGAGAGGUAGCAGCACUAAGGCGAUCACCCUGGGUGCCGCAGGGGUUCCCGGUUUGA